AGAACAGCCCAAGAUGGCCGACUUCGAUGAUCGUGUGUCGGAUGAGGAGAAGCGUGAGUUGAGAUGAUCACAUGGUUUUGGUCUUUUAAUUUGUACGCAUAGCUGCUAAAUUCAUCACUCAUGCACCCCCAGGGGAAUUUAAUGAAGUAUUCAAUGACGUUCGGCUACUACUUAAUAAUGACAAUCUCCUCAGGGAAGGGGCAGCACAUGCAUUUGCCCAGUAUAACAUGGAUCAGUUCACGCCUGUGAAGAUAGAAGGAUAUGAAGAUCAGGUCUUAAUUACAGAGCACGGUGACCUGGGUAAUAGCAGAUUUUUAGAUCCAAGAAACAAAAUUUCCUUUAAAUUUGACCACUUACGGAAAGAAGCAAGUGACCCCCAGCCAGAAGAAGUAGAUGGAGGUCUGAAGUCUUGGAGAGAAUCCUGUGACAGUGCUUUAAGAGCCUAUGUGAAAGACCAUUAUUCCAACGGCUUCUGUACUGUUUAUGCUAAAACUAUCGAUGGUCAACAGACUAUUAUUGCAUGUAUUGAAAGCCACCAGUUUCAGCCUAAAAACUUCUGGAAUGGUCGUUGGAGAUCAGAGUGGAAGUUCACCAUCACACCACCUACAGCCCAGGUGGUUGGAGUGCUUAAGAUUCAGGUUCAUUAUUAU
RNAcentral lists this small RNA (650 nucleotides) under Pongo abelii (Sumatran orangutan). RNAcentral's name for it is "processed transcript". Lineage: Eukaryota; Metazoa; Chordata; Mammalia; Primates; Hominidae. The record is from RNAcentral.